UACGAGUGGAGCGAGCGUUGUUCGGAAUCACUGGGCGUAAAGCGUGCGCAGGCGGUCAUGAAAGUCAGAAGUGAAAUCCCAGGGCUCAACCUUGGAAUUGCUUUUGAAACUCCAUGACUGGAGUACUGGAGAGGUUGGCGGAAUUCCGAGUGUAGCAGUGAAAUGCGUAGAUAUUCGGAGGAACACCAAUGGCGUAGGCAGCCAACUGGACAGUAACUGACGCUCAUGCACGAAAGCGUGGGGAUCAAACAGG
RNAcentral lists this ribosomal RNA (253 nucleotides) under uncultured bacterium. RNAcentral describes it as "partial 16S ribosomal RNA". It matches the Rfam family "Bacterial small subunit ribosomal RNA", at positions 524 to 776 of the family's 1533-position model. The record is from RNAcentral.